RNAcentral lists this long non-coding RNA (953 nucleotides) under Struthio camelus australis. RNAcentral describes it as "lncRNA (ENSSCUG00000013038.1)". Lineage: Eukaryota; Metazoa; Chordata; Aves; Struthioniformes; Struthionidae. The record is from RNAcentral.
CAGAGGAGCCCCAGUUCUGCUAUGCCUUUCUCUACAACUUAGCUCCCUGUAAAGCAAAAAGCAAGAAGAUACCAGGGUGCUUUGGAAAUGGAGAACUUUAAGAGGAAUCACUGCUAGACGGUCUCACUCUCGCCAGCCUCCCUCUCUCCCAGCAGUCUUGCCCCCACCUCUUUGAGAUCCUCUGGCUCUGCGCAGGAUAAAUAGCGACUGUGAAAUCCUUACAAAGGAAGGAGAACUAAUGGGAUAUUGCUAUUUCUGGAGCUGCCCAUUAGAGAAGCUGUUCUGUGGUACGCAGUAUGCCAGUGCACUUCAAAAAAAUAAAUAGGAACAAGAAUUAUUAGCAGAGGAAGCAUAUGUGGCCCCAAGACCAUGACUCAUCGGGUUAAAUCGACCAGCUGAGAGAAGCAGAGGUAAGGAGAAACCGAGUGACUCACCGACCAUCCCACAGGGAGCCUGCAGCGUAACACGGUGCCAAGCCCAGUUCCCAUCCCACCCCGGCCGUCCCUCGUCCCGCCGCCGCGCAGGGAUGUCUUACUGGAAAAACUUGAUUUAGCCAAAACCUGGGACGCACACAGUGGGAAACAGAUAUAGCCUUCGGUCAGGAGACUGGACGGGAUUUACUAGCAGCCUCUCUUCAUCUUCAAAGUCACCUUCGUUAACAGCCACUUUACAAGCUUUUACAGCUUUAAGGAGAAACUCAGUUAUCUCAGUACAAGGUUUUUACGGUCUUCAGAAAGGUUGCUUCACCACACCUGUGACUCAAAGCAGACAACGUGUAAGACUGAAAGUGGUUUGUGAUUCCCAAAGAAAUCCCAAGAAACACCUACAUGCUUUUUAAUUACAUACCUAGGUAGGUACUUAAGUAAAUUAAAAAACAAUUACCACAAAUUGUGAUAUGAUUCAACACUUUAGGAGGAAACUGAGAUUGCAGCUGGGUUUGCUUUUUGACUCCU